GAAGAAUUCCAAAGAUCAAUAAAGAUCAAGAGGCCCUCUGGGCAAAGGGCCUGUUCAGUGUGGACUUGAUCACAGGCUGCUGGCCAGCGGGGAAGAUGGAAGUCGCCGGCUUGACUGAGACAUUCACCCCAGCCUUAGAUUUAGGGCAGGACCCUCUCACUGUGUGGUCACCCUUUAUUUUCUCAGCUCUUAUUUAAAAAGAAGAAGAAAAAAAGAAUGUCUGGACAACAGCUAAGGCAGGCAUCCAGAAAUAGGAACACUUUUCUUAGAACACAGCCCAGAUGCAAACAUCAGGAGCAGACACUGCCCAGAUGGCGGCUUUACCCCAGCUGGACUCCUCUGAGGCUUUGGUGGUGGACAGCCCUGUGCCGCAAGCUGGAGUAAGCCGAUUCUCCCCAUGGGGGAAGCAGAAUGGAAAAGGAUUGAUCGGGCUGUCGUCCAAUGGGAAAGACAAGCACAAUGACUAAGAAUAAGCCCAAGCAGAUUGCUGACAAGUAAAAACGAUGCCAUGUAGACGAAGCUGUUAAUAGGACUUAAGAAAGAGCAAGAAUGGAGAAAGGGAAGAACAGAGAGAAGAGAAAGAAAAAGAGGCAAUGUGAGGAAGAGAGAGGGGGAAAAGGGAAGCAAAGGAAGGGGGAGAGAAUGAGAGACAGACAGAUAUACGCACUCUCCCCUUUAUGAUUCUACUGACCCAUGGAGUUUUUCCGUCCUUGCCAUUUUGGCUGUUUUUGACUCACUAGAAGUUGUUUUUGAAGCCAGUUCCUAGUCAUGAAACUAAACAUGAAAUGAUCGCUCUGGUGAAGCAAAAGCAUCAAACAAAUGACCUAUCAGGAUCCAAGAGCAGCCAUGCAGAAAGCCCAUGGGCUGAAGCAGGUGGUGGCCUGGUGCUGCUGCUGAUCACCUGGACUACUGUGGGCAGCUGACAUCACCUCCUGAGCAUCACUUUCUUCAUCUGUAAAGUGAAUUCGGAAGUGUCAAGUGGAGUUGUUGUGAGAAUUAAAUAAAACAAGCCAGCUUUUCUAGCCAAUUAGACUUUCCUAUCAAACAAUUCCUUCUUAAAAACAAAUUGAUAGUGGUUUUACUUUAAAAACCUAAUAUAAAUUGAUACCCAACAUGGCGUUUUGGAAAGCUUUUAUUUAGAGGAAGAGUUAGGAGCAGUUUGCUACCUCUUGCACUAAUUCUUCUUAUAAAAUAACCAGUAAAGCCUCUUCUUCAAACCCAGCACCAGGAGUGAGGCCUUUACCUCCUCUAGGACCUGACACUAGGAACCCACUGUUGCCUUUGUCCUGGUGGCUGACCAGGAUCUGCCAUCUCCUUCUGCACUACAAUAAUUCUCCUGUCUUCCCUUCACAGCCCUUCCUUUUCUUUCCGUUGUUUUAGUAGGAAAAACAACUAAAUUCUGAAUUUCUCCUUAUAAGUGUGUUUUUCUACCUGCCAACAUUUGCUGGUCAACUUGCUACUUUCUGAAGCCCCAAGGUCCUGGAUCCAAAUUUGCAUUCAACACAUGUUUGCCUUAAUCUUGGAUCUACCAAAUAUUUUCCUUAGGCUUUGAACAUGAGCUGUAUUCCUUAGUUAUUACAAUGCAAAAUGCCAUUCCAACAGCAAUUCUGAUUCACUCCAAACCCUGUUAUACUAUGGAAAUUCAACAGAUCACCAAUUGAGGGGGCACCAUGGAAGCACAGUGCCCCCAUCUUUCUUUAUUUGGAGUUCAAAAUCCAGCAUGGUCCAGGGAUCACCACCAGCCUCCUCCUUUCCCUAAAUUCCAGGAUUGUUAACUCUGGAGGAUUCAUCAAAGAAGAGUUACAUUCUCCCUGCUGACACGCCACACAGCCCCUUCCCAUUUCCAGGGGGUUUGUGCAAGCUGUAAAUCCCCGGGGCAUCUGAAUUCCCCUUAAACAAAAGUCUGUCUCCUAACCAAACAGAACCUUCUUGAAGUCAGCAAAAUGGCUACUUUGUGGCAUUAAAAGGAUUUUUCCUCCCAUAGCCUUGUUUUCUUUUGGCCUCCCUUCCUCCCAGAACUUAAGAAGCAAAUGGGAAGAGAAGUGUGCGAGGAAAAGAAUGAAAGGAACAAUGACGUAUAAUAUCCCAAAAAAGAUCUCUGACCAGUAAUGAUAGGGUUGCUAGCUGGGAAGCAAGGAUCACUGAAACCACAGCCUUUCCACUGUCUUAGAAGCUAUAAUCACACUCUAAACAUAAAGGUAUGGCAUCCAAACCACCCACUGUUCCCUCCCAGUGCGGGCCUGGAAGCCACACUCUCAGUUACACUGUCAUCACAUGGGUCACAUUUUGCCACUAGGAGCUCAAUCCUGCGAUUCUGGAUAGCAUUCUUGAUCUGGGUCUCUAUGUAAUUAUGACUGACUAUGGGCUGUAGAGGUGGAGAGUUAUAAAGCUCUAUAAUGGCCCUAUUAGUAAAAUGAGGCUCAAAUUCUAUGGCAUGGGCACAAACGUACAUGUAUAUGCUCAGAAGUCUUUCUGUAACACAAAGAACCCAUGUGGUACACAAACCCAAUUCUGUACUCAACCUACAUAAAAUGAAAAUAUUGGUUAUAAAUUUUAACAUGUAAUUAAUUGCUUGCCUUCUUACAGUUUAAAGGCUUGUGGACAGAUGUUUUGAAUAAACUAAGCUUCUUAAUAUAUAUAAAAAAGGCAAGUUAAAACUGGUAUUUAUUCUUCUUCAAUAUAUUUUUCUGUAGCCAAUGUAAGUAUUUAAGAAGUUGUCAGUGUUUUUAAGCUUGAGGAGGUCAGGAUCCAUACGUUAUGUUAACUGGAUAGAUUGUAUAGUGUCCAAAGUACCUGUGCAUAACCAGGGAAGACAAAGGAGGUGGCUCCAGGCUGCCCCGCAGAGUGCCUGGUAUUAAUCUGAAAACAAACUGUGCCUCUACUCAUUGCCAAGCAAACGCUGACUUCACUGAUGCCUGUUGUCUUCAUUAGAAGCUCUGCAUCAAAACAAAUACUCUAAUAAAUAUGCUUGUUAUAUUUUAUUAUCUAUUCUAGAGAUGAUCUUUUCAUCUUUUUAACCUACCCACAUUUUAUGUCCUUAGAUGCCUUAAACAGGCCCACUAGGCCUUCAGUUAAAUAAACAAACCGUUAGGCUGAGAAACUAUGUCAAAUGGGCACAACUGGCAGGCUAUUAAUAAAUCUAGACACUUAAGAAUUUUAGCCUUGAUGGAGAUACUCCAGGGGGAAAAAAUUUUAAAUAUUCUAGCCCAAGGAAGCCCCCAGCAAUGACUCAGUCCAAACGCUGUGAAAUAUAUACUGUAUUUCAGAUAUUCCUGGGCUCUGCAGGAAUUUGAAUUAAUCAUCCUGGAUCAGGACUCAUCCUGGGUCAGGAGGAAAGACAUUCAUUGCUUGGUUAACUAUUGGGGAAUUUUUUUUCCCUAGCCUGUGUUGGGGAAAGAAGGAAUAUUUGUUGAGGGACUCUUUUUUUUUUUUUUUUUUUUUUUUUUUUUUUUUUGAGACAGGGUCUUGCUCUGUCAUCCAGGCUGGAGUCCAGUGGUGUGAUUACGGCUCACUGCAACUGCAGUCUCGACCUCGCAGGCUCAAGCAAUCCUCCUGCCUCAGCCUCCUGAGUAGCUGGGACUAGAGG
RNAcentral lists this long non-coding RNA (3586 nucleotides) under Homo sapiens (human). RNAcentral describes it as "HSALNT0059744". The record is from RNAcentral. Lineage: Eukaryota; Metazoa; Chordata; Mammalia; Primates; Hominidae.